AUACUUACCUGGCAGGGGAGAAACCACGAUCUUGAAGGUAGUUUUCCCAAGGCGAGGCUUAUUCACUGCACUCUGGAUGUGCUGACCCCUGCAAUUUCCCCAAAUGUGGGAAACUAGACCCAGAAUUUGGGGUCAUGGGGAACUGCAUUCAUGCUCUCCCCUG
Molecule: small nuclear RNA, 163 nt
Organism: Sorex fumeus (smoky shrew)
Lineage: Eukaryota; Metazoa; Chordata; Mammalia; Eulipotyphla; Soricidae
Product: U1 spliceosomal RNA
Exons: 1
Source: RefSeq, a predicted model, not a curated record